UUUUUAAUUUAAUAAUUUCGGUGACUCAAGCUGUGUAGUUAAACUUCUACAACAAAGCGUUCACUCGAGUUGAUCAGUUUGAAAUUUCUUUUGCAAUCGUUUACACUAAUUUCAAAAUCUUGAAACACCCGUUAAAUUUUACGUUUUGACCCGGUGCAAAUCCUGGCAAUCCGAUUCUACUAUAUAAAUAUUCGCAGUUAAGGUUUAAUACUUAGCGAUAAUACUUACUUAGGAAAUAUGACUAUUGAUUACACAAGAAAAAUAGAUAUUUUCGGAAAGAUUUGGAUAGUUUCGUCCCUUUAAUCGAAUAAGACAAUUCAAAUUAUCCCAUUAUCUUAGAAAUAUUGAAAUUUGUUCACGAAAAUUGAAAUUUUGCGUGCAUGUUUAGUUAAAUAUUUCAGUCUAGAUAAUACUUAACAUCGACAGUAUAAUUGCAAAUUGUUAGCUAAAGUUUAUCAAUUUUUACGCUCCACUAAUGCUCAAAAAGUACUUGCUAGCUUAGCAAUCAUGCACUGUUGGUAAAAGUAACAUUUCAGCUAAACUUGAAUUAGUUAUAGCAAUAUAUCUUUUGAAACAUUCUUGUGUGACUUACUUAGAAAAGAAGUAUUUCGCUAUACAAAUAUUUGAAAGCACUUUUAAAUUCACACUUGUAUUAUAUUACAUACUACACGGUGUUCUUAUAAGUCCAACUUAUAGUAUAGUGAAAUCAAAACGGAAACCUUUCUCAAAGCUGUAAGAAAUUUAUAAAAUUCGACAUACAAGUCUUGUAUUUCGGAGAAAAAUAUUUUGAUUUUAUAUUUCCUUAAAUUGAUACUAAUUGAUUUGAGCAGUAGUACACAAAAAACCAAUGUCAAAAGCUUUAUUCAUCAAUGUUUGUUUUUGUUCUUAAUAUUUGAAAAGCUUGAAAGAAAUCUGAACGUCUCAGGUUAAAUUUUUAUUUGACCGUAUAAUGUGCUUCUUGCUAUUUUCAUUUUUUCCACAAAUAAAAAAAUCGAAAAGUCUACUUAGCCUUUAGAGGCGGAGGGGGUUGGCAAAAGUCUACUUAAGUCUACUAGGGAGAGGGGGGUGCUGGGUUCAAAAAAUCUCAAAUUUCGGUCUACGUGGGUCCCUUAACAUCAUACAUUUAGUUGGACCAAUCAAAAAAUAAUGCCCAUAUGAACAACGGAAAAUAAAACUCACAAGGAAAGAAAAUGUUUCAUUAAACCCGCUAUUAGAAUGUAAAGAUCAGAAAUAAACUUCAAGCGUAAGAAUCGGACUGAGAUCCUUCAGCAUAAAAAACGCUAAAAAAGUUGUCAACCGCAAAACUCGACAAGGAUGAACCUCCAGUUUAAAAACCGGUUAAAAUUAAAUAAUUCGUAUGCAAGAGUAUCCGUAUAUCGCGACGUUCAAGAUAAAAAGUCGGCUAAAAAACUACUUUGUAAGAAUCGGUUAAUUUUUCCGGUUUUUAUACUGAAUGUUAUUUAAUCCGACUCUUACAGAGUAGAACCUCAGUUCGAUUUUUAUGCUUGAAGUUUAUAUAAGAAUUUCACAUUCAAACCAUUUGAAGCAGGUUUUACGAAGCAUGUUCUGUCCUUGCGAUUUUAUUUUUGGUCGUUCAUAUCCACUUGACAACACGUUCCAUGGCUACACUAGUGAACUCUAGUGAUAUGGAAAAACUCACUUUCUUCUUGCAUCUGAACCGUACACCAAAAAUUACGUAUCUGAUUCACGGUCCGCGAUCAUCCAAGAACACAUGCGAAUCUGCGAAAGGCACACGGUCAUAAAAUAUAAUUUAUACACGCGAAGUUACAUACACGUUAACAUACGCGACAUAGAAACUCACACGCGAUCGAAAACGUUAAUGUACAAACGCCUAAACCCUUCACUAUGAUACACGCAAUCGCGAACUCCCUACGCCCGCACAUAUCUGAACCGUAAAAUGAAUAUCACAUUCAGAAUCACGGCCCACUGAAAUUGGCCUUAAGUAGUUUAGUGGGUAACAUUUCCCGUCUCGUUUUCAAUUGUAUUGUUGGGAGUCCUGUCGAGACCCUAGCUCUACUGCUCCAGUAGGACAACUCUCGAGAAAAAUGUACUCUGGGUUUUAACUGGAGUGUGCGGCGAAGGGUUACUCCCCCACAUAUCGCACCGCCAUGUCCUAACCCCAACUCGUUAAACCCCCUCAGAUCCCUCUCCACCAGUCCCAUCAGACCCCGAUAAUCUAGGUCAAUCCAAUCUGAUCCCUUAGAUAAACAGCCAAAACAGUGCACCGUAUUAUUCGUAUAAUCUAUUCAAAUUUAUUCACAGAUUCGUUUUUUUUCAGGUGUUGAACGUGAUCAUGGAAUUCGGUAAUUAUUCGUUUUCGUGACACGUAUUCAGGACUUUUUUUGGUAGAAUUAUUUACACCUGAUCUCCAUGAUAGUCCACCCUGGACACUAAUCCAGACACAUUAACCUUCCCAGAAACCAGUGUCAUGCAAACUCGUUCGAGUCCAAAUGCUUUCCGAGUUUCAAAGUUUUGCGAUCGUCUAAAUAUUUCAAAUUAAUGGUAACGAUAAACUUUGUCGGAUAGAAAAACUUUCAGUAUAGUAAUAGUCUGUAUCACCUGGCAAUCUGACUUCCUUGAAUAGCACAAACCGUCGUCUUUUUAUAUCCUUGCAUUAUGGAAACUGUACAAAAGUAAGGACAAUUAGUAGUGGUCGAAAAAUGCAAGUGUUACUCCGGAGCUCCUAUUGAACCACUAAUAAUCUAAUCGUUGCACAAUUAUUUCGUGAUUACUUUGUGUGGAAAUGAACCACAACGGCAGCCGAUACACGUCGUUCGCCUUUGCUAGUGGAGGGAUCGCUGGCAGCGGCGGUGCCCGAGGAGAAUUGAGCAGUGGUAAUUUGAGCAGAAAGCUGAGUAGUCCGAUGGCAGAGUCGACACAGCUGGACAGCAGCGGUAUCCGGGGGAAUCUUUACGACAGUCCGGUACGACAUGUUGGAGUUGGGAAAAGAAGCCUACCUCUCCGUUGCAAAAUAGCAGGACAAAUUUUAGAAGCAGCUGAACGGCGUCCGGGUCCAGUAUGGAUCGAUUGAUUGAUCCUAAGAUUUACACGGAUGUUCAGAGCCGAGGAUUGGUUAACCGGUUGGUAAAGAACCACGAUAAAACGCAAUCGCCGUUAAAUAGGAGUCAAUCGAUGACUAGCCUGUACUCGAAGCCGGGUCAAUUUCCUGUGUGGUGGAGGAGAAAUAAUUCUUCGAUAGCUACCAUUGGUUCGGAUUUCCCCGUCAGAGAAGUCCGUGUUUCAGGCUGACACAAGGUGGAACAUUUUACGGGAGGGAUCGUUGCUCAUUCCGGCGGAACCUCAUCUGAAGAUGGUCCGAACACAUAGACACGAGGAUAAGAUUGAUGCGGAAAAUAGUGUGAUUGCGCCUUCAACAGAACUGGAUGCCGAUUGGAUCAAGAAACAAUGUAAGGAACUAUCGGAGGUUGAUUCAGGCGAAGCUGGUACGAAGCAAGCUCGGGAAAUUACAUACACGGCUUCGCACCCGUGUCGAGGGUCGACGAAUCAGCAGCUACAGACGAAGAAAUGUAGUAAAAAUAAUAAGUUCACUUAGCUCGAGCCUGGUGAUGAACACUCCGAAAGUGGAACACGUAGCGCACCGGCCGGCACGAUUAAAUGUGGAUGUCUUUCUCGACGCCGGCAACAUUGGAUGCGACGGUUCCAGUUAGCAUGAUUGAAUCGAGCAAACCGGCAAAAUUAAGUAGGAUUGAUUCCGCUCCUUUGCCACAUAUUACGAGAAUUGUUCCGGAGUUUCAACUGCCUCUGAUGGAAUAUCCGCCACUAAAACUAACGUUGUUUAACAAAAAAUACAACGUCCAUGACAUGACGAAACGGUGGUUCGACCCACGUCCACAGACAGUGAAGAUAAGGAUGAUGAUGAUAAAGUAGGCGGACGAAUCAGUUUCAUUAAGCCAAAGGAUAAAUCGCCUAUGCCAAGGUUGUUUUGAAGAGGUUCGAGCGCUCGAAAUCAUCGUUGAUUCUGAGCUGCUUGAGUGAUGAUUUUGAUGAAGACGAGGAAUCGCCUAUAGUUACGCCAUCGCAGGGUUCAUUUUAUACGAUAGACACCGCGGAUGCACCACCGAAGGUUGAAGAGAAGAAACGGCUUCCGUCCCGACAAUGAGCGGUAUUUCAGCAAUAGUUAACAGCCCGAUCAAGGAUCCUGGCCUAGGUAACCGAAACCGGUGGAAAAUGUAAAAACGAUAGAGCAACCGAAGUAAACCACGGGAUUUGCUUUCGGAAGUACAACUGCUACCGUCAGCUCGGCUCCGGUUACAGCACAUCAAUCCGAUACAUAAUUUACGUUUGGGACGCCCACUUAACCGUUACUGCUAAAAUCAUAUCAUCGGAAAUACCACGUAUCGUUUUCCUGUGCUUGGAUUUCGGUACGUACGGAAUCGGACGGCGUUUAUGGCCGAUACCAUUUUAUCGGAAAAUAAUGCGAUUCGAGGUAUUAAUCACACGCCUACAUCAAAAAAUUAUAUAAUUUGCAACUAAUAUUUUAAAAAG
Long non-coding RNA from Topomyia yanbarensis, 4527 nucleotides. RefSeq lists it as uncharacterized. The transcript is spliced from 3 exons. The record is from RefSeq and is a predicted model, not a curated record. Lineage: Eukaryota; Metazoa; Arthropoda; Insecta; Diptera; Culicidae.